AAUUCCAGCUCCAGAAGCGUAUUUUAAAGUUGUUGCAGUUAAAAAGCUCGUAGUUGGAUCUGGGUAGCAGGCUACGCGCUGUAGCUAGUUUCUUCACCAGUUUUCGGUGUUGAAAUUGCUCGGUGUAGUGGUCGUGUGACCUUUCUGCCGUGUCUGUGUACACAGGUGCCAACCGUUAGGUCGGCAUGCUCUCGGGUGCCUUUAAUCGGGUGUCCGGAGCAGACGGCACGUUUACUUUGAACAAAUUUGAGUGCUCAAAGCAGGCCGUAGAGCCUGAAAAGUCUUGCAUGGAAUAAUGGAAUAGGACUUCGGUUCUAUUUUGUUGGUUUUCGGAUCCGAAGUAAUGGUUAAGAGGGACAAACGGGGGCAUUUGUAUGGCGGCGUUAGAGGUGAAAUUCUUGGAUCGUCGCCAGACAAUCUACAGCGAAAGCAUUUGCCAAGGAUGUUUUCAUUGAUCUGGAGCGAAAGUCAGAGGUUCGAAGACGAUCAGAUACCGUCCUAGUUCUGACCAUAAACGAUGCCAACUGACGAUCCGCGGCGCGCUAUUUUCGGCCCCGCGGGCAGUCCCCGGGAAACCCUUAAGUCUUUGGGCUCCGGGGGAAGUAUGGUUGCAAAGCUGAAACUAAAGGAAUG
RNAcentral lists this ribosomal RNA (633 nucleotides) under Isoparorchis hypselobagri. RNAcentral's name for it is "SSU rRNA". It matches the Rfam family "Eukaryotic small subunit ribosomal RNA", at positions 581 to 1154 of the family's 1831-position model. Lineage: Eukaryota; Metazoa; Platyhelminthes; Trematoda; Azygiida; Isoparorchiidae. The record is from RNAcentral.